UAGGGAAUCUUCGGCAAUGGGGGCAACCCUGGACCGAGCAACGCCGCGUGAGUGAAGAAGGUUUUCGGAUCGUAAAGCUCUGUUGUAAGAGAAGAACGUGUGUGAGAGUGGAAAGUUCACACAGUGACGGUAACUUACCAGAAAGGGACGGCUAACUACGUGCCAG
This 166-nucleotide ribosomal RNA is filed under the name uncultured bacterium. RNAcentral's name for it is "partial 16S rRNA". It matches the Rfam family "Bacterial small subunit ribosomal RNA", at positions 355 to 511 of the family's 1533-position model. The record is from RNAcentral.